AGCAGCCGCGGUAAUUCCAGCUCCAAUAGCGUAUAUUAAAGUUGUUGCAGUUAAAAAGCUCGUAGUUGAAUUUCGGGGUUAGUAGGUUGGUCAUGCCUCUGGUAUGUACUGGUCUCACUGAUUCCUCCUUCCUGAUGAGCCGUAAUGCCAUUAAUUUGGUGUUGCGGGGAAUUUGGACUGUUACUUUAGAAAAAUUAGAGUGUUUAAAGCAGGCUCACGCUUGAAUACAUUAGCAUGGAAUAACGGAAUAGGACGUUUGAUUCUAUUUUGUUGGUUUCUAGGAUCGACGUAAUGAUUAAUAGGGAUAGUUGGGGGCAUUAGUAUUCAAUUGUCAGAGGUGAAAUUCUUGGAUUUAUUGAAGACUAACUACUGCGAAAGCAUUUGCCAAGGAUGUUUUCAUUAAUCAAAGAACGAAAGUUAGGGGAUCGAAGACGAUCAGAUACCGUCGUAGUCUUAACCAUAAACUAUGCCGACUAGGGAUCGGAUGAUGUUAAUUUUUAAUGUACUCA
RNAcentral lists this ribosomal RNA (509 nucleotides) under uncultured Glomeraceae. Its description in RNAcentral is "SSU rRNA". It matches the Rfam family "Eukaryotic small subunit ribosomal RNA", at positions 569 to 1078 of the family's 1831-position model. The record is from RNAcentral. Lineage: Eukaryota; Fungi; Glomeromycota; Glomeromycetes; Glomerales; Glomeraceae.